AGUUUCCUGGGGUGUUCGCCAGUUGGUGAUGUCCCUGAGCCGAUAAUUGUAUCUUAAGGGUAAUUUUUCCCUGCUAUUGAGCAUGCUCAGCCCGACUGAGAAGCCUACGGUAGGGUCUUGUUUCCCGCCUUGAACCUCAUGGUUCAAGGGCUAAAAUCAACAGCGGCACUCUGGGUACUUC
Molecule: non-coding RNA, 181 nt
Organism: Agarivorans albus MKT 106
Lineage: Bacteria; Pseudomonadati; Pseudomonadota; Gammaproteobacteria; Alteromonadales; Alteromonadaceae
Rfam family: 6S / SsrS RNA
About the family: E. coli 6S RNA was the first non coding RNA to be sequenced, but its function was unknown until recently. It consists of 184 nucleotides that fold into an extended hairpin structure with a large single-stranded internal bulge.
Source: Rfam